Molecule: ribosomal RNA, 504 nt
Filed under: uncultured bacterium
Lineage: Bacteria
Description: partial 16S ribosomal RNA
Rfam family: Bacterial small subunit ribosomal RNA
Source: RNAcentral
ACGAACGCUGGCGGCGUGCCUAAUACAUGCAAGUAGAACGCACAGUUUAUACCGUAGCUUGCUACACCAUAAACUGUGAGUUGCGAACGGGUGAGUAACGCGUAGGUAACCUGCCUGGUAGCGGGGGAUAACUAUUGGAAACGAUAGCUAAUACCGCAUAAUAUUGAUUAUUGCAUGAUAAUUGAUUGAAAGAUGCUAUUGCAUCACUACCAGAUGGACCUGCGUUGUAUUAGCUAGUAGGUGAGGUAACGGCUCACCUAGGCGACGAUACAUAGCCGACCUGAGAGGGUGAUCGGCCACACUGGGACUGAGACACGGCCCAGACUCCUACGGGAGGCAGCAGUAGGGAAUCUUCGGCAGUGGACGAAAGUCUGACCGAGCAACGCCGCGUGAGUGAAGAAGGUUUUCGGAUCGUAAAGCUCUGUUGUAAGAGAAGAACGGGUGUGAGAGUGGAAAGUUCACACUGUGACGGUAUCUUACCAGAAAGGGACGGCUAACUACGUG